Long non-coding RNA from Carya illinoinensis, 1188 nucleotides. RefSeq lists it as uncharacterized. The transcript has 2 exons. The record is from RefSeq and is a predicted model, not a curated record. NCBI's taxonomy places the organism in Eukaryota, Viridiplantae, Streptophyta, Magnoliopsida, Fagales, Juglandaceae.
GAGAGAGAUGACAUAACCACAUAGCUAGAGUUCUUAUCGAUGAGGACAGCCAUGGAUGAAUGAUUCAAUCGUGAGUGGUUUUGUUUGGCAUGGAGACACGCACGUGAACUCAGUUUCUUCCCUUCACUUCACCAAACAAUACCAAGGAGAAAAUGACUUCUUCCGCUAUAAUAGCACAGCGGGAGUCUCCCCAAAGAGAGUUAACUCGUAAAGAGCAUGGGACAUAGCAUGUCUUUUGGCCUUAGGGUUUGGGGUCCGUCUUGGGUCUCUCUCAUCUAUAUUAGCUGCAGAAUCAUAGGCAUGGGCUGGUACAUGUUUCCCCGUCCCCUUAGUUACGCAAUAAUAGACUCUCUCUCUCUCUCUCUGCAACGCCAUGCCGCACUUCUAUAUAUACUUGGUUUUCUACACAUUUUUUCGUCGAUCCGGCCAAAAGAAUAGGAAGUUUUUAUAUUUUGGCUAUAUAAAUAAUGAGAUCUUCCCGCAUCGUUUUCUUAUCAUGUCUACUUUCAACCGCUUUCUAUUUCUGUUCCCCAACUCUAAUUACUACCUCAUCUUCCUUUAUUGAGCUCCCUGCAGGCCGUCCGUCCGUGAGGAAACUGAGCAUGUUAAGUCCCUACGACAAGCAUAAAUAUCACAAGGUAAAGAUCGGUGAAGAUCAGAUUAAAGGAUCAAGUACCGUCGCAGAAGGCUCAAUGGCACUCAAACGUACAAGAAGCGGCCAGGACAACUUAGAUCAUGAGUUUGUCUACCACAUUGAUUAUCAUGGGGUGACAACACAUCCGACCCCAACUCCGAGGCACCCUAAACCUUAAGACAGUUUAGGAGUGCUAAUUAUAAUUCGUUUCUAUAUAUGAGGAUGAAUAUGCAGCACUACUUUGUAUUAGUAUGUUUGAAUAUAGAUGAGAAGUUCAAGUCCUGAGACAUAAAUAGGUACUAUUUUAAACAUACAUAUUGUUUUCUCAACCAAAACGAUUGCCCAGAAACGCUAAUAAUGAAGGAGAUCCGUACUUGUUACAAAGAAACAAAAACCAAUCUAUGAUUGUAAAGAUAGUAAGAGGUGCCGAUUUUCUCUUUUUUCUGUGUGUUUUUUUUUCCCAGUGCAAGUAGGUUGGAGAUCAGUAUUUGUUACGAAGAAACAAAAACCAAUCUAUGAUUGUAAAGAUAGUAAGAGGUGCCGAUUUUCUCUUU